UCACGAAUCUUUGAACGCACAUUGCGCCCUCUGGUAUUCCGGGGGGCAUGCCUGUUCGAGCGUCAUUAUAACCACUCAAGCUCUCGCUUGGUAUUGGGGUUCGCGGUUUCGCGGCCCCUAAAAUCAGUGGCGGUGCCUGUCGGCUCUACGCGUAGUAAUACUCCUCGCGAUUGAGUCCGGUAGGUUUACUUGCCAGCAACCCCUAAUUUUUACAGGUUGACCUCGGAUCAGGUAGGGAUACCCGCUGAACUUAAG
Molecule: unclassified non-coding RNA, 255 nt
Filed under: Rhexocercosporidium panacis
Lineage: Eukaryota; Fungi; Ascomycota; Leotiomycetes; Helotiales
Description: sequence contains 5.8S rRNA gene
Rfam family: 5.8S ribosomal RNA (bases 1-65)
Source: RNAcentral